Molecule: ribosomal RNA, 2893 nt
Filed under: Escherichia coli
Lineage: Bacteria; Pseudomonadati; Pseudomonadota; Gammaproteobacteria; Enterobacterales; Enterobacteriaceae
Description: 23S ribosomal RNA
Rfam family: Bacterial large subunit ribosomal RNA
Source: RNAcentral
GGUUAAGCGACUAAGCGUACACGGUGGAUGCCCUGGCAGUCAGAGGCGAUGAAGGACGUGCUAAUCUGCGAUAAGCGUCGGUAAGGUGAUAUGAACCGUUAUAACCGGCGAUUUCCGAAUGGGGAAACCCAGUGUGUUUCGACACACUAUCAUUAACUGAAUCCAUAGGUUAAUGAGGCGAACCGGGGAACUGAAACAUCUAAGUACCCCGAGGAAAAGAAAUCAACCGAGAUUCCCCAGUAGCGGCGAGCGAACGGGGAGCAGCCCAGAGCCUGAAUCAGUGUGUGUGUUAGUGGAAGCGUCUGGAAAGGCGCGCGAUACAGGGUGACAGCCCCGUACACAAAAAUGCACAUACUGUGAGCUCGAUGAGUAGGGCGGGACACGUGGUAUCCUGUCUGAAUAUGGGGGACCAUCCUCCAAGGCUAAAUACUCCUGACUGACCGAUAGUGAACCAGUACCGUGAGGGAAAGGCGAAAAGAACCCCGGCGAGGGGAGUGAAAAAGAACCUGAAACCGUGUACGUACAAGCAGUGGGAGCCUCUUAAUGGGGUGACUGCGUACCUUUGUAUAAUGGGUCAGCGACUUAUAUUCUGUAGCAAGGUUAACCGAAUAGGGGAGCCGAAGGGAAACCGAGUCUUAACUGGGCGUUAAGUUGCAGGGUAUAGACCCGAAACCCGGUGAUCUAGCCAUGGGCAGGUUGAAGGUUGGGUAACACUAACUGGAGGACCGAACCGACUAAUGUUGAAAAAUUAGCGGAUGACUUGUGGCUGGGGUGAAAGGCCAAUCAAACCGGGAGAUAGCUGGUUCUCCCGAAAGCUAUUUAGGUAGCGCCUCGUGAAUUCAUCUCCGGGGUAGAGCACUGUUUCGGCAAGGGGUCAUCCCGACUUACCAACCCGAUGCAAACUGCGAAUACCGGAGAAUGUUAUCACGGGAGACACACGGCGGGUGCUAACGUCCGUCGUGAAGAGGGAAACAACCCAUACCGCCAGCUAAGGUCCCAAAGUCAUGGUUAAGUGGGAAACGAUGUGGGAAGGCCCAGACAGCCAGGAUGUUGGCUUAGAAGCAGCCAUCAUUUAAAGAAAGCGUAAUAGCUCACUGGUCGAGUCGGCCUGCGCGGAAGAUGUAACGGGGCUAAACCAUGCACCGAAGCUGCGGCAGCGACGCUUAUGCGUUGUUGGGUAGGGAGCGUUCUGUAAGCCUGCGAAGGUGUACUGUGAGGUAUGCUGGAGGUAUCAGAAGUGCGAAUGCUGACAUAAGUAACGAUAAAGCGGGUGAAAAGCCCGCUCGCCGGAAGACCAAGGGUUCCUGUCCAACGUUAAUCGGGGCAGGGUGAGUCGACCCCUAAGGCGAGGCCGAAAGGCGUAGUCGAUGGGAAACAGGUUAAUAUUCCUGUACUUGGUGUUACUGCGAAGGGGGACGGAGAAGGCUAUGUUGGCCGGGCGACGGUUGUCCCGGUUUAAGCGUGUAGGCUGGUUUUCCAGGCAAAUCCGGAAAAUCAAGGCUGAGGCGUGAUGACGAGGCACUACGGUGCUGAAGCAACAAAUGCCCUGCUUCCGGAAAAGCCUCUAAGCAUCAGGUAACAUCAAAUCGUACCCCAAACCGACACAGGUGGUCAGGUAGAGAAUACCAAGGCGCUUGAGAGAACUCGGGUGAAGGAACUAGGCAAAAUGGUGCCGUAACUUCGGGAGAAGGCACGCUGAUAUGUAGGUGAAGUCCCUCGCGGAUGGAGCUGAAAUCAGUCGAAGAUACCAGCUGGCUGCAACUGUUUAUUAAAAACACAGCACUGUGCAAACACGAAAGUGGACGUAUACGGUGUGACGCCUGCCCGGUGCCGGAAGGUUAAUUGAUGGGGUUAGCGGUAACGCGAAGCUCUUGAUCGAAGCCCCGGUAAACGGCGGCCGUAACUAUAACGGUCCUAAGGUAGCGAAAUUCCUUGUCGGGUAAGUUCCGACCUGCACGAAUGGCGUAAUGAUGGCCAGGCUGUCUCCACCCGAGACUCAGUGAAAUUGAACUCGCUGUGAAGAUGCAGUGUACCCGCGGCAAGACGGAAAGACCCCGUGAACCUUUACUAUAGCUUGACACUGAACAUUGAGCCUUGAUGUGUAGGAUAGGUGGGAGGCUUUGAAGUGUGGACGCCAGUCUGCAUGGAGCCGGCCUUGAAAUACCACCCUUUAAUGUUUGAUGUUCUAACGUUGGCCCCUGAUCGGGGUUGCGGACAGUGUCUGGUGGGUAGUUUGACUGGGGCGGUCUCCUCCUAAAGAGUAACGGAGGAGCACGAAGGUUGGCUAAUCCUGGUCGGACAUCAGGAGGUUAGUGCAAUGGCAUAAGCCAGCUUGACUGCGAGCGUGACGGCGCGAGCAGGUGCGAAAGCAGGUCAUAGUGAUCCGGUGGUUCUGAAUGGAAGGGCCAUCGCUCAACGGAUAAAAGGUACUCCGGGGAUAACAGGCUGAUACCGCCCAAGAGUUCAUAUCGACGGCGGUGUUUGGCACCUCGAUGUCGGCUCAUCACAUCCUGGGGCUGAAGUAGGUCCCAAGGGUAUGGCUGUUCGCCAUUUAAAGUGGUACGCGAGCUGGGUUUAGAACGUCGUGAGACAGUUCGGUCCCUAUCUGCCGUGGGCGCUGGAGAACUGAGGGGGCUGCUCCUAGUACGAGAGGACCGGAGUGGACGCAUCACUGGUGUUCGGGUUGUCAUGCCAAUGGCACUGCCCGGUAGCUAAAUGCGGAAGAGAUAAGUGCUGAAAGCAUCUAAGCACGAAACUUGCCCCGAGAUGAGUUCUCCCUGACUCCUUGAGAGUCCUGAAGGAACGUUGAAGACGACGACGUUGAUAGGCCGGGUGUGUAAGCGCAGCGAUGCGUUGAGCUAACCGGUACUAAUGAACCGUGAGGCUUAACCUU